Molecule: ribosomal RNA, 253 nt
Filed under: uncultured bacterium
Lineage: Bacteria
Description: partial 16S ribosomal RNA
Rfam family: Bacterial small subunit ribosomal RNA
Source: RNAcentral
GACGAACCGUGCGACUGUUGUUCGGAAUUACUGGGCGUAAAGGGCGCGUAGGCGGUGUGUCAAGUCAGGCGUGAAAGCCCCGGGCUCAACCUGGGAACCGCGCUUGAGACUGGCACGCUCGAGUUCGGGAGAGGAUGGUGGAAUUCCCAGUGUAGAGGUGAAAUUCGUAGAUAUUGGGAAGAACACCGAUGGCGAAGGCAGCCAUCUGGACCGACACUGACGCUGAGGCGCGAAAGCGUGGGGAGCAAACAGG